RNAcentral lists this unclassified non-coding RNA (253 nucleotides) under uncultured Halomonadaceae bacterium. RNAcentral's name for it is "contains 16S-23S intergenic spacer region". It matches the Rfam family "Bacterial small subunit ribosomal RNA", at positions 524 to 776 of the family's 1533-position model. Lineage: Bacteria; Pseudomonadati; Pseudomonadota; Gammaproteobacteria; Oceanospirillales; Halomonadaceae. The record is from RNAcentral.
UACGGAGGGUGCGAUCGUUAUUCGGAAUUACUGGGCGUAAAGCGCGCGUAGGUGGCGUGAUAAGUCGGUUGUGAAAGCCCCGGGCUCAACCUGGGAACGGCAUCCGGAACUGUCAGGCCAGAGUGUAGGAGAGGAAGGUAGAAUUCCCGGUGUAGCGGUGAAAUGCGUAGAGAUCGGGAGGAAUACCAGUGGCGAAGGCGGCCUUCUGGACUGACACUGACACUGAGGUGCGAAAGCGUGGGUAGCAAACAGG